AGUUUUUGCAAUUAUAAAAGAGAUAUAGAGAUGAGAAUGUUACAAGUCUGCAGUUCUAAUUUUAUAGCUAGUCUUGUCCAUAACAGACUUACAGAUUUGUUACAUUUUCUUCUUUAUGUCUCUUUUAAAAAUUGCAGGCG
This 140-nucleotide microRNA precursor is filed under the name Medicago truncatula (barrel medic). RNAcentral describes it as "miR2595 stem-loop (mtr-MIR2595)". Lineage: Eukaryota; Viridiplantae; Streptophyta; Magnoliopsida; Fabales; Fabaceae. The record is from miRBase by way of RNAcentral.